Osmerus eperlanus (European smelt) is the source of this 967-nucleotide long non-coding RNA. RefSeq lists it as uncharacterized. NCBI's taxonomy places the organism in Eukaryota, Metazoa, Chordata, Actinopteri, Osmeriformes, Osmeridae. The transcript is spliced from 3 exons. The record is from RefSeq and is a predicted model, not a curated record.
GUUAGAGUCCUCUCCAAAAGGGUGGAAGUCCCUACACGUGUUUUGUCUUUGUCAAAGUCCCGUUACUUGAGAUCUUACAAAGGUGAUCCCAGAGGUAUUAGAUGUAAUUUGGUUAAAAAUGAGCAAGAGAAAAAACUAAAUGUAUUUUUAUUUGUAGUUUAAUUGUAAUUUGGUUUUAAGCUGUGAUAAUGUUUAAUAAUAAUUAAUAAAUGGUAUUAGUGCAUGAAGAGGGUUAUUAUAACAUUCAGUUCUGAAAAUAAUUUGGGAAGACUCAUCAAGUCUGAUAAAUUGUGGUUAUGAUGGUUUGAGCUAAUUGGCUCGUUUUGAACUGCAGCAAAACGAGUUAUGAAGUUCUAUAGAAAAUAUAGUUGGGAAAAAUGUUUGGUUAAUAGCUACAUUAAGAACAUUAUUUGGUCUAUAUUUAAUUUAAGAAGCAUAUGGAUUCUGGUUUGGCAUAAUGAAAAUUGCUUUUAUCAUAUCUUUGAUAAAAAUAGGUGUGAUUUGGUAAAAUAGUCACAAGAGGACCUUAUGUUACUAAGGAAUCUGUUUCUUUAUGUGCUGAUUUGAGCCAUGGGAUGAAUCAUGUCUCAAACAGGAGGGAUGGAGAUAACGAAAGAGUGUUUAUAGCAUAUGGAUUUAAAAAUUAUUCAAGAAAACUUUAAGAAAUAACUUUUUUAGCAUACCCUAUUUGUGCAAACAUGAUAUGCAUGAACUUUAUUGAACUAAAGAAAUGUGAAGGGGAAAAUACUGCCUGGUAAUUAUAGAUACAGUAUGUUUACUAUGUGAAUUUAAGUCUUUUCCAGUCCUAUACCAGAUGCAUAACGCCAUUUGAAUUGAUUUAUUGGAGAUCAUAUGUAAUACCACAACUUAAACCUUUCACAUAGCAUGAUGAAAAGGCGAAUCAAAUGGUUAACCAAUUUUAUAAAAAAUGCUAACUAGAAAAGAGACAUCUUCUGCUAAAUUCUGU